UCGGACUCGUCAGAGAUCGGCUCGACUGAAAUAUACGAGCGACCCACUUUUCGAUGUACCAUUUGAACGGUUUGACCUUGCGUAAUAACUAUUUCGUAAGGGACGUUUAGACAGGCUUUGAAAACGUUAGUGGUGCUACAAAUGCAUUAUUCAUUUAAGCUUUAGACCUCAAAUCAGAUAGGACUACCCGCUGAACUUAA
Molecule: unclassified non-coding RNA, 200 nt
Filed under: soil metagenome
Description: partial contains internal transcribed spacer 2 and large subunit ribosomal RNA
Source: RNAcentral